RNAcentral lists this ribosomal RNA (573 nucleotides) under Campylobacter jejuni. RNAcentral's name for it is "partial 23S ribosomal RNA". It matches the Rfam family "Bacterial large subunit ribosomal RNA", at positions 1540 to 2100 of the family's 2925-position model. Lineage: Bacteria; Pseudomonadati; Campylobacterota; Epsilonproteobacteria; Campylobacterales; Campylobacteraceae. The record is from RNAcentral.
AUACUCCGAGAACUGAAAGGCUUUUUGAAGUCUUCGGAUGGAUAGAAGAACCCCUGAUGCCGUCGAGCCAAGAAAAGUUUCUAAGUUUAGCUAAUGUUGCCCGUACCGUAAACCGACACAGGUGGGUGGGAUGAGUAUUCUAAGGCGCGUGGAAGAACUCUCUUUAAGGAACUCUGCAAAAUAGCACCGUAUCUUCGGUAUAAGGUGUGGUUAGCUUUGUAUUAGGAUUUACUCCGAAAGCAAGGAAACUUACAACAAAGAGUCCCUCCCGACUGUUUACCAAAAACACAGCACUCUGCUAACUCGUAAGAGGAUGUAUAGGGUGUGACGCCUGCCCGGUGCUCGAAGGUUAAUUGAUGGGGUUAGCAUUAGCGAAGCUCUUGAUCGAAGCCCGAGUAAACGGCGGCCGUAACUAUAACGGUCCUAAGGUAGCGAAAUUCCUUGUCGGUUAAAUACCGACCUGCAUGAAUGGCGUAACGAGAUGGGAGCUGUCUCAAAGAGGGAUCCAGUGAAAUUGUAGUGGAGGUGAAAAUUCCUCCUACCCGCGGCAAGACGGAAAGACCCCGUGGACCU